AGCAUAUCAAUAAGCGGAGGAAAAGAAACCAACAGGGAUUGCCCCAGUAACGGCGAAGUGAAGCGGCAACAGCUCAAAUUUGAAAUCUGGCCCCAGGCCCGAGUUGUAAUUUGCAGAGGAUGCUUUUGGCGCGGUGCCUUCCGAGUUCCCUGGAACGGGACGCCAUAGAGGGUGAGAGCCCCGUACGGUUGGACACCAAGCCUUUGUAAAGCUCCUUCGACGAGUCGAGUAGUUUGGGAAUGCUGCUCUAAAUGGGAGGUACAUUUCUUCUAAAGCUAAAUAUUGGCCAGAGACCGAUAGCGCACAAGUAGAGUGAUCGAAAGAUGAAAAGCACUUUGAAAAGAGGGUUAAACAGCACGUGAAAUUGUUAAAAGGGAAGCGCUUGUGACCAGACUUGCGUCCGGUGAAUCACCCAGCUCUCGCGGCUGGGGCACUUCGCCGGCACAGGCCAGCAUCAGCUUGCCGUCGGGGACAAAAGCUUCAGGAACGUGGCUCCUCUCGGGGAGUGUUAUAGCCUGUUGCACAAUACCCUUCGGCGGGCUGAGGUACGCGCUCCGCAAGGAUGCUGGCGUAAUGGUCAUCAGCGACCCGUCUUGAAACACGGACCAAGGAGUCAACCUUAUGUGCGAGUGUUUGGGUGUUAAACCCCUACGCGUAAUGAAAGUGAACGCAGGUGAGAGCUUCGGCGCAUCAUCGACCGAUCCUGAUGUUCUCGGAUGGAUUUGAGUAAGAGCAUAUAGGGUUGGACCCGAAAGAAGGUGAACUAUGCGUGUGUAGGGUGAAGCCAGAGGAAACUCUGGUGGAGGCUCGCAGCGGUUCUGACGUGCAAAUCGAUCGUCAAACAUGCGCAUGGGGGGCGAAAGACUAAUCGAACCUUCUAGUAGCUGGUUUCCGCCGA
Molecule: ribosomal RNA, 898 nt
Filed under: Colletotrichum melonis
Lineage: Eukaryota; Fungi; Ascomycota; Sordariomycetes; Glomerellales; Glomerellaceae
Description: LSU rRNA
Rfam family: Eukaryotic large subunit ribosomal RNA
Source: RNAcentral